Molecule: long non-coding RNA, 302 nt
Filed under: Lepisosteus oculatus (spotted gar)
Lineage: Eukaryota; Metazoa; Chordata; Actinopteri; Semionotiformes; Lepisosteidae
Description: lncRNA (ENSLOCG00000021560.1)
Source: RNAcentral
UAAUAUCUGAGUGUUUUCUAAUGUUUGCCUGGGUUUCUUCUUCACAUUUGGAUUCAAUUAACACAUCAUGUAUAAGGUGUUAAUUAAAUCUGGAUAGCUUUACUCCGCUCUACAUAUUGCAUUAAUAUCUCUUUCCCAGAUGCAUCUACGUUAUGGAAACUAGGAACGCAAAUGCGAGUUGGAUUCCUGGCAGUGUUGUGGAUGUGCCCUCAACUGAACAUGAGCUUCUCCAGGUGAAACUGACCUUUGGCAUGAACCAGACAAAGACACUCUAUGGACCUAGAGUUAAACAUGAAUGGUGG